This 93-nucleotide non-coding RNA is filed under the name marine eukaryotic metagenome. RNAcentral's name for it is "Glycine riboswitch". It matches the Rfam family "Glycine riboswitch aptamer", at positions 11 to 84 of the family's 94-position model. Rfam says of the family: This family represents the bacterial glycine riboswitch. The record is from RNAcentral.
GAAUUCGAGAGAGAGUCGGGUGAUAACCGGCCGCCGAAGGGGUAAACUUCAAUUAGUUCCGAUUGAAGUGAAACUCUCAGGCAAAAGGAUCGG